Molecule: transfer RNA, 85 nt
Filed under: Bacillota bacterium
Lineage: Bacteria; Bacillati; Bacillota
Also listed under: 4 other names
Description: Firmicutes bacterium (sediment metagenome) tRNA-Leu
Rfam family: tRNA
About the family: Transfer RNA (tRNA) molecules are approximately 80 nucleotides in length. Their secondary structure includes four short double-helical elements and three loops (D, anti-codon, and T loops).
Source: RNAcentral
GCCGGGGUGGCGAAAGUGGCAGACGCAAGGGACUUAAAAUCCCUCGACCCUUUGGGUCAUACGGGUUCGAAUCCCGUCCCCGGCA